UGAACGCUGGCGGCAUGCCUUACACAUGCAAGUCGAACGGCAGCACGGGUGCUUGCACCUGGUGGCGAGUGGCGAACGGGUGAGUAAUACAUCGGAACAUGUCCUGUAGUGGGGGAUAGCCCGGCGAAAGCCGGAUUAAUACCGCAUACGAUCUACGGAUGAAAGCGGGGGACCUUCGGGCCUCGCGCUAUAGGGUUGGCCGAUGGCUGAUUAGCUAGUUGGUGGGGUAAAGGCCUACCAAGGCGACGAUCAGUAGCUGGUCUGAGAGGACGACCAGCCACACUGGGACUGAGACACGGCCCAGACUCCUACGGGAGGCAGCAGUGGGGAAUUUUGGACAAUGGGCGAAAGCCUGAUCCAGCAAUGCCGCGUGUGUGAAGAAGGCCUUCGGGUUGUAAAGCACUUUUGUCCGGAAAGAAAUCCUUGGCUCUAAUACAGUCGGGGGAUGACGGUACCGGAAGAAUAAGCACCGGCUAACUACGUGCCAGCAGCCGCGGUAAUACGUAGGGUGCGAGCGUUAAUCGGAAUUACUGGGCGUAAAGCGUGCGCAGGCGGUUUGCUAAGACCGAUGUGAAAUCCCCGGGCUCAACCUGGGAACUGCAUUGGUGACUGGCAGGCUAGAGUAUGGCAGAGGGGGGUAGAAUUCCACGUGUAGCAGUGAAAUGCGUAGAGAUGUGGAGGAAUACCGAUGGCGAAGGCAGCCCCCUGGGCCAAUACUGACGCUCAUGCACGAAAGCGUGGGGAGCAAACAGGAUUAGAUACCCUGGUAGUCCACGCCCUAAACGAUGUCAACUAGUUGUUGGGGAUUCAUUUCCUUAGUAACGUAGCUAACGCGUGAAGUUGACCGCCUGGGGAGCACGGUCGCAAGAUUAAAACUCAAAGGAAUUGACGGGGACCCGCACAAGCGGUGGAUGAUGUGGAUUAAUUCGAUGCAACGCGAAAAACCUUACCUACCCUUGACAUGGUCGGAAUCCCGCUGAGAGGUGGGAGUGCUCGAAAGAGAACCGGCGCACAGGUGCUGCAUGGCUGUCGUCAGCUCGUGUCGUGAGAUGUUGGGUUAAGUCCCGCAACGAGCGCAACCCUUGUCCUUAGUUGCUACGCAAGAGCACUCUAAGGAGACUGCCGGUGACAAACCGGAGGAAGGUGGGGAUGACGUCAAGUCCUCAUGGCCCUUAUGGGUAGGGCUUCACACGUCAUACAAUGGUCGGAACAGAGGGUUGCCAACCCGCGAGGGGGAGCUAAUCCCAGAAAACCGAUCGUAGUCCGGAUUGCACUCUGCAACUCGAGUGCAUGAAGCUGGAAUCGCUAGUAAUCGCGGAUCACGCAUGCCGCGGUGAAUACGUUCCCGGGUCUUGUACUCACCGCC
RNAcentral lists this ribosomal RNA (1366 nucleotides) under uncultured beta proteobacterium. Its description in RNAcentral is "16S ribosomal RNA". It matches the Rfam family "Bacterial small subunit ribosomal RNA", at positions 30 to 1394 of the family's 1533-position model. Lineage: Bacteria; Pseudomonadati; Pseudomonadota; Betaproteobacteria. The record is from RNAcentral.